This 253-nucleotide ribosomal RNA is filed under the name uncultured bacterium. Its description in RNAcentral is "partial 16S ribosomal RNA". It matches the Rfam family "Bacterial small subunit ribosomal RNA", at positions 524 to 776 of the family's 1533-position model. The record is from RNAcentral.
UACGGAGGGUGCAAGCGUUAUCCGGAUUCACUGGGGUUAAAGGGUGCGUAGGAGGGCAGGUAAGUCAGUGGUGAAAUCUCCAAGCUUAACUUGGAAACUGCCGUUGAUACUAUCUGUCUUGAAUACCGUGGAGGUGAGCGGAAUAUGUCAUGUAGCGGUGAAAUGCUUAGAUAUGACAUAGAACACCAAUUGCGAAGGCAGCUCGCUACACGAAUAUUGACUCUGAGGCACGAAAGCGUGGGGAUCAAACAGG